RNAcentral lists this ribosomal RNA (253 nucleotides) under uncultured bacterium. RNAcentral describes it as "partial 16S ribosomal RNA". It matches the Rfam family "Bacterial small subunit ribosomal RNA", at positions 524 to 776 of the family's 1533-position model. The record is from RNAcentral.
UACGUAGGGUGCAAGCGUUAAUCGGAAUUACUGGGCGUAAAGCGUGCGCAGGCGGCUUUGCAAGACAGAUGUGAAAUCCCCGGGCUCAACCUGGGAACCGCAUUUGUGACUGCAUGGCUGGAGUGCGGCAGAGGGGGAUGGAAUUCCGCGUGUAGCAGUGAAAUGCGUAGAUAUGCGGAGGAACACCGAUGGCGAAGGCAAUCCCCUGGGCCUGCACUGACGCUCAUGCACGAAAGCGUGGGGCGCAAACAGG